RNAcentral lists this ribosomal RNA (477 nucleotides) under uncultured bacterium. RNAcentral's name for it is "partial 16S ribosomal RNA". It matches the Rfam family "Bacterial small subunit ribosomal RNA", at positions 28 to 507 of the family's 1533-position model. The record is from RNAcentral.
GAUUAACGCUGGCGGCGUGCAUAACACAUGCAAGUCGAACGAUGAAACUUAAAUGAUUUCUUCGGAAUGAACUUAAGUGGAUUAGUGGCGGACGGGUGAGUAACGCGUGAGUAACCUGCCUUACACAAGGGGAUAGCCGUUGGAAACGACGAAUAAUACCCUAUGAAACUAUCACUUCGCAUGAAGCGAUAGUCAAAGUGUUAGCGGUGUAAGAUGGACUUGCGUCUGAUUAGCUAGUUGGUGAGAAAAAAGCCCACCAAGGCAACGAUCAGUAGCCGGCUUGAGAGAGUGUACGGCCACAUUGGGACUGAGACACGGCCCAGACUCCUACGGGAGGCAGCAGUGAGGAAUUUUGCACAAUGGGGGAAACCCUGAUGCAGCGACGCCGCGUGAUUUAGAAGGCCUUCGGGUUGUAAAAAUCUUUUGUAUAGGAAGAAAAUGACAGUACUAUACGAAUAAGGUCCGGCUAAUUACGUG